GAUGAACGCUGGCGGCGUGCCUAAUACAUGCAAGUCGAGCGAACAGAUGAGGAGCUUGCUCCUCUGACGUUAGCGGCGGACGGGUGAGUAACACGUGGAUAACCUACCUAUAAGACUGGGAUAACUUCGGGAAACCGGAGCUAAUACCGGAUAAUAUAUUGAACCGCAUGGUUCAAUAGUGAAAGACGGUUUUGCUGUCACUUAUAGAUGGAUCCGCGCCGCAUUAGCUAGUUGGUAAGGUAACGGCUUACCAAGGCAACGAUGCGUAGCCGACCUGAGAGGGUGAUCGGCCACACUGGAACUGAGACACGGUCCAGACUCCUACGGGAGGCAGCAGUAGGGAAUCUUCCGCAAUGGGCGAAAGCUUGACGGAGCAACGCCGCGUGAGUGAUGAAGGUCUUCGGAUCGUAAAACUCUGUUAUUAGGGAAGAACAAAUGUGUAAGUAACUAUGCACGUCUUGACGGUACCUAAUCAGAAAGCCACGGCUAACCACGUG
RNAcentral lists this ribosomal RNA (497 nucleotides) under uncultured bacterium. RNAcentral's name for it is "partial 16S ribosomal RNA". It matches the Rfam family "Bacterial small subunit ribosomal RNA", at positions 28 to 507 of the family's 1533-position model. The record is from RNAcentral.